CAGUGAUCUAAAAUUUCAAAAAUAUAUGUAUAUUAUUAAUUAUUAUAAAAUUAAUUUUCAAAAGUAUAGAACAUGGGUCACCAAAUGGCAGCCCGCAGACAAAGAAUAAAUAACACAUAUUACGACAACAUUAUAUGUGUUAUUAUUGUAAAUUAUUAUUUUUGUUAAAUAUUAUUGGUUUUUAAAUAAUUUAAAUAUCUACUUAGAAUUUUGAUGGCCCAUAAAAAAUUUUCAGAUUCUCAAUGUAGCCCUUCAAAAAUAUUAAUUGGUAACCCCUGGUAUAGAAAUUCUUAAGCAGCUACGUUUCAAAUUUAAGUGACAUUAUUAUUUUAAAUUUAAACAGACAAUUAUUAUUACAUUUAAAAAAAUUGAUAAAUAUAAAAUACAAUUUAAUGGAUAUACAGAAAUACUGCAAAAUUAUACUUUCAUACAACCAAUUCUAUAAUGACAAUUAGUGUGUAAUUUAUACAUAGAUUAUAAAGUGAUGUUUAUGGUGUAUUACUAAACAAAACUUCAAAUUGAUUCAAUAGAGUAUUUUUUUGCUUGAAAAAGGUUACAAAAUAAAUGGUGGAGAUCUAUAGUCUAAACCAGCGGUUCCCAAACUGUGCACCGCCGUGCGCUAGGGGCACCGCGAGCACUUCCUAAGGGCACCGUGGUCUACGUUAAUUUGGUUAUCAAUGAGUAUUUUUUUUUGUUCUGUCUUUCGUAUUAUUCACAGCAGGGCACCGUAGCUAAAUUGGGUCAAAAAAAGGCACCGCGGAAAAAAAAGCUUGGGAACCGCUGGUCUAAAAAUACAUCAAAAAAUAUAAUGUUUGAUGAGUUAUUAAACGAAACAAAAGUAAUCUUUUGUGAAUAAUAAAUAUAAUAAUAACUUUUUGUCAAACAACCUUUUUUUAAAUACAUUUUUAUAAAUAUUUUAUGUAACAUUUAUAAGUUAAUAAAUAAUUAAGUUUACUUUAAUAAUUUAAAUGAACUUUUUUGUACGUCAUUUUUGUAGAACAGUACCCGUUUUUAAUAAAAUUGAUCUUUUUUAAAUUAGCAUUUUAAAUACCUACAUGGUAAUUGGUAAUUUUUUUUGGUAUCCAGAUAUUUCACCGCAAAUAAUUCACUGUGUGUACAAUUCUCGUAAUUAUUUUAUAGAUAAUGAUUUCACACAACAUACUAAUAUCAUAAAAUUAAUUUUUCAGUUGGUACUUGGUAUCUAUAAAUUAAAUUCCGGCAUAGUAUUUUUUAUAUGAUAGGCCACGAUGUAGAGAAGAUUCUCUACAUCGUGUGAUAGGCAAAGUUGAGCAGUAUAUAACUGAGUAUAUUCCAUGGGCAUAAAAAGAAAAUUGUGACUAUGCUGAAAGAUUAAAAAUUGUGUGCGAUGACUAUCGUAUAUCAAAAUAUAAUUACUUAAAAGAUUACUUAAGAAGCAUAGCCUAUAAUUUUUUAUAUUUUAGAUUCUGAACGAAGUGAUGAACGUCUUGAUUUUACAAUGAUGUGUGUUUUUAUUUUUAUUUUUGUGUCUGUCAUCACUUUUUGGAGUAGUAAUAAUGCUUCGAUUUUUGACUUCAGCCCAUCUUUAAAAAGGAAAAUUCAUCUAAUUGGUACUUUGGGGAGGUCAAAGGUAAAAAAUCGUUAGUCACAAUUUUUGUUUAUAAGCAUUUAAAGUUCAAAUAUUUACGAAAUAUAUCAAAAUCGCGAAAAUUUGUAAGGAAUUUUGAAGUUGAAAAUUCAUAAAAUUUUUGUGAUUUAUACUUAAGGUUCAAAAAUCCAAUACGUAAAUCCAUAGUUUUUUCUUUAAGUAAUUGUUAAAUAAAUUCUAGCGUCAAUAAAGGAAAAAUUUUAUGAGCUUAAGAAAUUUAGUUUUUUACGAAAUCGCGUAAAAUAACGAUAUAUUACAAUUUAAAUAUAGGUGAUAUUAUGAUAUAUCCUGCUAAUUACAAUUAUAUCAGUCGUUGCAUUCAAAUUUAACACAUCCAUUAUAGUGACCUACUCUCCAUCACUACUAUAUAGCAGAGCGAUACCCACUUGCCCACUUUUUUUAUUUAAUUAUUUAUAUAGGUAGUAAUUUAUUGUAAUAUUUUUUUUAGAUAAUAUGUAAAUGUAAGUACAUACAAAAACAAAUUUAUACUUUUUAAUUUAAUGAAUUAACUCAGUGAAUGACUUUUUUUUCACUGAAGUGACUUUUUUUCGAUCCUUUUUGAAAUGAAACUUCUUUACAGAGGGUACAAAAAAAAAGACGACAGUCGGUCGUCACGGGCCGCCGUUACAAAUUGCCGGCCUAAAAUUUUUAUUUAUAGCUUUUAUUUUGUAUUGUAUCUUCACCACAAACGACUAUGAUACCAAAUAAUUUAUUAUAUUAUUAAAAAUAUUAAUUAUUAUUAUAUUUAUUAACUUAUAUUUAAUAACCCUUGCCAGUGGUUUGUUUUAUUUUAGUAGCCUUCAACCCUUUCCAUUGGUUUGUCGUUCUUCGUUGUUUACGACUGCCUGGACCUAUGUCAGAUGCAGAACGUUCAUGACAGUAUCGUAUUCAGAAACGUGAAGAUAUAUUGCAAAAUAACCCGGAUGCUAUAUUAACAUUAUCUCUUAGUCCUGUAUCUGAUACAAAAUUUGCACGACAGCUUUGUAUAUGGAAUAGACAUUUAUAAUUUUUUAAUA
Molecule: long non-coding RNA, 2643 nt
Organism: Rhopalosiphum padi (bird cherry-oat aphid)
Lineage: Eukaryota; Metazoa; Arthropoda; Insecta; Hemiptera; Aphididae
Exons: 2
Source: RefSeq, a predicted model, not a curated record